Molecule: ribosomal RNA, 422 nt
Filed under: uncultured bacterium
Lineage: Bacteria
Description: bacterial SSU rRNA
Rfam family: Bacterial small subunit ribosomal RNA
Source: RNAcentral
UGAGGAAUAUUGGUCAAUGGGGGCAACCCUGAACCAGCCAAGUCGCGUGAAGGAUGAAGGUCUUAUGGAUUGUAAACUUCUUUUACACGGGAAUAAAGUGGGGGACGUGUCCCCCUUUGCAUGUACCGUGUGAAUAAGGAUCGGCUAACUCCGUGCCAGCAGCCGCGGUAAUACGUAGGGGGCAAGCGUUGUCCGGAUUUACUGGGUGUAAAGGGCGCGCAGGCGGGAUAAAAAGUCAGUGGUGAAAUCCUACAGCUUAACUGUAGAACUGCCUUUGAUACUUUUAUUCUUGAGUUCGGGAGAGAGAGACGGAAUUCCAGGUGUAGUGGUGAAAUACGUAGAUAUCUGGAAGAACACCAGUUGCGAAGGCGGUCUCUUGGUCCGACACUGACGCUGAGGCGCGAAAGCGUGGGGAGCAAACA